RNAcentral lists this unclassified non-coding RNA (175 nucleotides) under uncultured fungus. RNAcentral describes it as "sequence contains ITS1". The record is from RNAcentral. Lineage: Eukaryota; Fungi.
UUGAUUCAUUUGUUUAUGAUUCCACUCAGACAUGCUAAAGAUAGAAAUACAAGAGUUUAUUUGUCGGUCCCUCGGCGGGCGAACCCGCCGAAGCAACGGUAGACAGGUAUAGUUCACAUUGGGUUUGGGAGUUGUAAACUCGGUAAUGAUCCCUCCGCUGGUUCACCAACGGAGA